RNAcentral lists this transfer RNA (72 nucleotides) under Camelus bactrianus (Bactrian camel). It matches the Rfam family "tRNA". From Rfam's summary of the family: Transfer RNA (tRNA) molecules are approximately 80 nucleotides in length. Their secondary structure includes four short double-helical elements and three loops (D, anti-codon, and T loops). RNAcentral also lists the same sequence under 3 other names. The record is from Rfam by way of RNAcentral. Lineage: Eukaryota; Metazoa; Chordata; Mammalia; Artiodactyla; Camelidae.
GGGGGUAUAGCUCAGUGGUAGAGUGUCUGCUCAGCAGGCAUGAGGUCCUGAGUUCAAACUCCAGUAUCUCCA